CCUACGGGAGGCAGCAGUGGGGAAUAUUGCGCAAUGGGCGAAAGCCUGACGCAGCGACGCCGCGUGAGGGAUGAAGGUCUUCGGAUCGUAAACCUCUGUCAGCAGGGAAGAACGGUCACUGUGCUAAUCAGCAGUGAAUUGACGGUACCUGCAAAGGAAGCACCGGCUAACUCCGUGCCAGCAGCCGCGGUAAUACGGAGGGUGCGAGCGUUAAUCGGAAUUACUGGGCGUAAAGCGCUCGUAGGCGGUAUGUCAAGUCAAGGGUGAAAUCCCCGCGCUCAACGUGGGAACUGCAUUUGAAACUGGCAAACUGGAGUGUGUGAGAGGAUAGUGGAAUUCCAGGUGUAGGAGUGAAAUGCGUAGAUAUCUGGAGGAACAUCAGUGGCGAAGGCGACUAUCUGGCACAUAACUGACGCUGAGGAGCGAAAGCGUGGGUAGCAAACAGGAUUAGAUACCCGAGUAGUC
Molecule: ribosomal RNA, 465 nt
Filed under: uncultured bacterium
Lineage: Bacteria
Description: partial 16S ribosomal RNA
Rfam family: Bacterial small subunit ribosomal RNA
Source: RNAcentral